GCUCUGUCAGUAGAGCGUCGCAUUCCCAUGCAAAAGGUCGUUGGUUCGAGCCC
RNAcentral lists this transfer RNA (53 nucleotides) under Chattonella subsalsa. Its description in RNAcentral is "partial tRNA". The record is from RNAcentral. Lineage: Eukaryota; Raphidophyceae; Chattonellales; Chattonellaceae.